This is a long non-coding RNA of Dicentrarchus labrax (European seabass), 1642 nucleotides long. RefSeq lists it as uncharacterized. The transcript is spliced from 3 exons. NCBI's taxonomy places the organism in Eukaryota, Metazoa, Chordata, Actinopteri, Moronidae. The record is from RefSeq and is a predicted model, not a curated record.
AUGUGUACAUGAAUGUGUAAAUGUGUACAUGAAUCUGUAAAUGUGGACAUGCAUAUUAAUGUCAGCAGUCUUUUUUGCUCCUACAGCUGGAAAUACAGAUCAUCAGUUAUGACUCUCAGUUGGCUCUUUUUACGCUGCUGCUGCAGAUCUGACGCUGUGUGUGGACAGAUUGUCUGUGUGCCUCGGUGGCCACGCCCACUUCGGGUUCCUGUACGCGUUGACAGGUUUCUGUACGCAUUGACUCUGUACGCAUUGACAGGUUUCUGUACACAUUUACAGGUUUCUGUACGCAUUGACAGGUUUCUGUACACAUUUACAGGUUUCUGUACGCAUUGACAGGUUUCUGUACGCAUUGACAGGUUUCUGUAUGCAUUGACUCUGUACGCAUUGACAGGUUUCUGUACAUAUUGACAGGUUUCUGUGCGCAUUGACAGGUUUCUGUACACAUUUACAGGUUUCUGUACGCAUUGACAGGUUUCUGUACGCAUUGACUCUGUAUGCAUUGACAGGUUUCUGUACGCAUUGACAGGUUUCUGUACACAUUUACAGGUUUCUGUACGCAUUGACAUGUUUCUGUACGCAUUGACUCUGUACGCAUUGACAGGUUUCUGUAUGUAUUGACAGGUUUAUGUAUGCAUUGACAGGUUUCUGUACACAUUUAAAGGUUUCUGUACACUUUUACAGGUUUCUGUAUGCAUUGACAGGUUUCUGUACGCAUUGACAGGUUUCUGUACGCAUUGACUCUGUAGGCAUUGACAGGUUUCUGUACGCAUUGACAGGUUCCUGUACGCAUUGACUCUGUACGCAUUGACAGGUUUCUGUACACAUUUACAGGUUUCUGUACGCAUUGACAUGUUUCUGUACGCAUUGACUCUGUACGCAUUGACAGGUUUCUGUAUGUAUUGACAGGUUUAUGUAUGCAUUGACAGGUUUCUGUACACAUUUAAAGGUUUCUGUACACUUUUACAGGUUUCUGUAUGCAUUGACAGGUUUCUGUACGCAUUGACAGGUUUCUGUACGCAUUGACUCUGUAGGCAUUGACAGGUUUCUGUACGCAUUGACAGGUUCCUGUACGCAUUGACUCUGUACGCAUUGACAGGUUUCUGUACACAUUUACAGGUUUCUGUACGCAUUGACAGGUUUAUGUACGCAUUGACUCUGUACGCAUUGACAGGUUUCUGUACACAUUUACAGGUUUCUGUACACAUUGACAGGUUUCUGUACGCAUUGACAGGUUUAUGUACGCAUUGACUUUGUAUGCAUUGACAGGUUUAUGUACGCAUUGACAGGUUUCUGUACACAUUGACAGGUUUCUGUACGCAUCGACAGGUUUAUGUACGCAUUGACUUUGUACGCAUUGACAGGUUUAUGUACGCAUUGACUUUGUACGCAUUGACAGGUUUAUGUACGCAUUGACAGGAGUUUAGACUUAUUUGAAAAGAGAUAACUUCUGUUAUGAUUUGGUGCUAUACAAAUAAAACUGAAUUGAAGUUGCUGAGGGUCGUCAACCUGACUUUUGCAGCAACGUGACAUCAUCCAGCAAGAUCCUGUGCGGACCAAUCACAGGCAGGCGCACAGUGCGGGUACAUUGGUUUGUAACCUGAACGCUGUAUUGUGACGAUAGCAACAAACAUGGAGAUGU